This 404-nucleotide ribosomal RNA is filed under the name uncultured bacterium. RNAcentral describes it as "partial 16S ribosomal RNA". It matches the Rfam family "Bacterial small subunit ribosomal RNA", at positions 28 to 526 of the family's 1533-position model. The record is from RNAcentral.
GAUGAACGCUGACAGAAUGCUUAACACAUGCAAGUCAACUGUGGCGGACGGGUGAGUAACGCGUAAAGAACUUGACUCACAGUUAGGGACAACAUUUGGAAACGAAUGCUAAUACCUGAUACUGUGAGAGAGCUUUGCGUCCCAUUAGCUAGUUGGAGAGGUAACGGCUCACCAAGGCGAUGAUGGGUAGCCGGCAUGAGAGGGUGAUCGGCCACAAGGGGACUGGGACGCGGCCCUUGGGCCUACGGGAGGAAGCAGUGGGGAAUAUUGGACAAUGGACCAAAGUCUGAUCCAGCAAUUCUGUGUGCACGAUGAAGUUUUCGGAAUGUAAAGGGCUUUCAGUUGAGAAGCGGUACCAACAGAAGAAGCGACGGCUAAAUACGUGCCAGCAGCCGCGGUAAUUC